CCCUAGGUUCAUAUGAUCGGACCUAUAGAGAGAGUGUCGGGCUCAUAGAGAUUAGAGUUGGUCAAGCACAAUAGGAAUCAUGUCCACUAGGAUAGGAUGUUGAGUCCUGUCUUUUUGAUGCUAUGAGAUGCAUAUGCAUGUGUUUUGCUGAGUAAGAUAUAUGUGUUUAUGUGCUGAUAUGCUAAUGUGUUGAUUGUACAGAGAGUUAAGAUGCGAGGAACUCGUCGAUCAGCUCGAUUGACUGGAGUCCCAUCAGAUAGUGAGGGAGUAGCUGCUCGUCCUCCUGCAUUGCCAAGGGCAAGGUCGCAAAGAUCUAGCAGGGAAGGCAUGUCAAUAGACCCUAGAAGGUCUGUAGACGAGAGCAGAAGAGGGGUAGUUAGAGGAGGUGGAUCAGAAGAAGUGAGGGAGGCCAUGGAGACUGAUCCGUCUAUGGAUGAAGGUAUGGGAGAAUCCGAGGGAGGCGUUCAGGCCUCAGG
This 476-nucleotide long non-coding RNA is filed under the name Manihot esculenta (cassava). RNAcentral's name for it is "long non-coding RNA (MESC_LNC011564)". The record is from RNAcentral. Lineage: Eukaryota; Viridiplantae; Streptophyta; Magnoliopsida; Malpighiales; Euphorbiaceae.